Molecule: long non-coding RNA, 250 nt
Filed under: Elaeis guineensis (African oil palm)
Lineage: Eukaryota; Viridiplantae; Streptophyta; Magnoliopsida; Arecales; Arecaceae
Description: long non-coding RNA (EGUI_LNC011916)
Source: RNAcentral
CGGUGCACAAAUAGGACUACUUUAUUGCCAUGAAAGGGCAAUUUUGAUAUACCAAGUUAUGGUGUUGGAGUAUGGAACAUGAGGCACUUUCUGAGCGUUCUAUGGAACAACUGAAUAAGUUGUGAAAAAUCUCAUUGAAAUAAUGUUGCAAGCACUGAUCUCAAUGUCAAAUAUCAUGCUCCUACAAUAUAUAGAACGGAACGUUAGCUAUGAAAUGAAUUUAAAUUGCAUUGUUUUAUUGGUAAUAGGC